Molecule: ribosomal RNA, 395 nt
Filed under: uncultured bacterium
Lineage: Bacteria
Description: bacterial SSU rRNA
Rfam family: Bacterial small subunit ribosomal RNA
Source: RNAcentral
CGCGUAUGCAACCUGCCUGUAACAGAGGGAUAGCCCAUAGAAAUGUGGAUUAAUACUUCAUAGUCCUGAUGAGUCGCAUGGCUUAUCAGGUAAAGCUCCGGCGGUUACAGAUGGGCAUGCGUGACAUUAGCUAGUUGGUGAGGUAACGGCUCACCAAGGCAACGAUGUCUAGGGGUUCUGAGAGGAUGAUCCCCCACACUGGUACUGAGACACGGACCAGACUCCUACGGGAGGCAGCAGUGAGGAAUAUUGGUCAAUGGGCGCAAGCCUGAACCAGCCAUCCCGCGUGCAGGAUGACGGCCCUAUGGGUUGUAGACUGCUUUUAUACAGGAAGAAAAAUCUCUACGAGUAGGGACUUGCCGGUACUGUAUGAAUAAGCAUCGGCUAACUCCGUG